This 287-nucleotide unclassified non-coding RNA is filed under the name Hypoxylon sp. Its description in RNAcentral is "partial contains 5.8S ribosomal RNA, internal transcribed spacer 2, and large subunit ribosomal RNA". The stretch from base 1 to 71 matches the Rfam family "5.8S ribosomal RNA", at positions 84 to 154 of the family's 154-position model. Lineage: Eukaryota; Fungi; Ascomycota; Sordariomycetes; Xylariales; Hypoxylaceae. The record is from RNAcentral.
GUGAGUCAUCGAAUCUUUGAACGCAUAUUGCGCCCAUUAGUAUUCUAGUGGGCAUGCCUAUUCGAGCGUCAUUUCGACCCCUAAGCCCCUGUUGCUUAGCGUUGGGAAUCUACGGCGUAGUUCCUUAAAGUUAGUGGCGGAGUUAGGGUACACUCUCAGCGUAGUAAUAUCUCUCGCUCGUGUGGUGGCCCUGGCUGCUAGCCGUUAAAACCCCUAUAUUUUCUAGUGGUUGACCUCGGAUUAGGUAGGAAUACCCGCUGAACUUAAGCAUAUCAAUAAGCGGAGGA